CUUAUACACUAAUGGUUCCUCCAUGAAAGGAAAAUGGGAAUCUCAGUAUUGAGUGGUAGGAUUUGUGAUAAUUUUAUUUACUUAUUUAUUUAAGUGGUACUGGGAAUGGAACCCAGAGCCUCACACAGGUUAAGCACAUGUUGUCUGUCUCUAAACUACACCCUCAAUCCUGUAGUGAUUUAAAAAAUCAUUUUAUUUUAAUGUAUUUACAAUUUAUUUACUCCACAUGCAUUUACUCCACAUGCAUUAUUCAUGAUUUGGCUAUUAUGAAUAAUGCUGUUAAAAACAUUUUAUACAAGGUGUGGUUAUAUGUUACCUGGGAUUGAACUCAGGGGCACUCAACCACUGAGCCACAUCCCCAGUCCUAUUUUGUAUUUUAUUUAGAGACAAGGUCUCACUGAGUUGCUUAGUGCCUUGCUACUGCUGAGGCUGGCUUUGAACUCGUGAUCCUCCUGCCUCAGCCUCCUGAGCUGUUGGGCAUGUGCCACUGUGCCCAGCCACAUGCAUUAUUUUUAUAAUUAGAGUUAAUGUAAAGUAAAAGAUCAAUAUAAAAUAAAAUAGUGGAUUAAGAUUCAUUUAAGGGGGCUGGGAAUAUACUUCAGAAUACCUUCCAGAGCAUGCACAUGGCCCUAAGUUCAAUACCCAACACUGGAAAAAAAAAAAAAUUAGAAAAGAGAGAAGUAUUUUUUUUGUCCUCUACCUACCUUGUAACCACAACAACAAAAAUAGUUGUAUUGAGACAUAAUUUACAUUCCAUAAAACCCACUCUUUUAAAGUCUAUAAGUUUGGUGGGUUCUAACAUAUUUAUAGAAUUAUGUAACCAUCACUAUGUACCCCCAAAGAAACUCAGGCCCAUUAACAGUUACUCCUCUUUUAUACCCACCCCCAGUCCCUAGAAACUAUCAAUCUACUUUAUUUCCUUGGAUUUGUCUAUUCUGGACAUUUCAUAUAAAUGCAAUUAUAUGAGUUGUGGCUUAUUAUGACACAUUUCUUUCACUUAACAUGAUGUUUCAAGGUUCAUUCAUUUUGUAGUAUAUAUAAGUGUUUCAUUUCCUUUUAUUGCCAAUAAGAUGUCAUUUUAUAGAUCUACCACAUUUUCUUUAUCCAUUCAUCAAUUUGAUGGACAUUUGAGCUGUUUUCACAUUUUAGCUAUUAUGAAUAAUGCUAUUAAGAACAUUUUAUGCAAGGUGUGGUUAUAUGUUUUUAUUCCUAUUGGCUGUACAUCCAAGUGUAGAAUUUUGGGGUCAUAUGUUAAUUCUGUUUUCUUUUGUUUGAGGUGCCAGGGACCAAACUCAGGGUCUUUUAUUUUUUUAAUUUUUUUUUUCAGUUGUCAAUGGACCUUUUAUUUAUUUAUUCAUUUAUAUGUGGUGCUGAGAAUUGAAUCCAGUGCCUCACACAUGCCUAGCAAGUGCUGUACCACUGAGUCACAAUCUCGGCCCAAACUCAGGAUCUUGUAGAUGACUUUUAUGUUUAUUUUUCUUUCUUUUUUAAAAGUUUAUUUUGUUUAUUUAUUUUAGACUGAGUUUUGCUAUGUUGCCCAGGCUGGUCUUGAACUCCUGGGUUAAAGUGCUCCUUCCAAACCUCAGCUUCCAGAGAGGCUGGAGUCAUAGUGCACUACAUCUUAUCCAGCUUAACUUUGUUUUUGAGGUGGGGGGUUUGAACCUAGGGUCCAACUUAACUUUUUGGGAGUUCUGUGGGUUAAAACCAGAAGUUAUGUAUGCUUAACACGUGCUCUACCACAGAGCUAUACUUCCA
Molecule: long non-coding RNA, 1755 nt
Filed under: Marmota monax (woodchuck)
Lineage: Eukaryota; Metazoa; Chordata; Mammalia; Rodentia; Sciuridae
Source: RNAcentral